GGGAGGGUAUUAUUGUCUAGAAUGGUGGGGGUAACACUCUUGUUUUGAUGAGUAUGAUGAAGGGAAUUCAUCAAUGGUCCACCAUUUGACACAUAUUAUAUGUUCGAUCUCUCCUCCAUCAGUGCAUCUUUCAAAGCUAUGGAAACUGAAAUACGAAAAGGAACAUGUUUAAACUUUAAAGUCCAAAACAUCGAUCAGAAGAAAAAAAAGUAGAUAUAUUUGAAAAACAAAUCAUACAUAACCACUAAAUUCCUAUGUAUUUGGUUGGUGUACUUUACAUGUAGGUGUCAAGUACUUGAUUAGUCCACAAAAAUGCCCACUAACACCAGAUUUAUGCCAAAAGGAUAAAGUUUAGAGGUCAAUUGUGAUGAUCAAAACCUUUUGUAAAUGUGGUCAAUGAUAUGUCUUCUUCCAUACAUUAGCAAACAUAUCACCAACCGCAAGCAAUGUGUAAAAUGACACAUCAAAAUCAAACUAAAAAUAUACUUAUUAAGGAAAUAUUUGAAAAUUGAAAAUCACCAUUUGUUUGGUAAAUUAUUUAAACAUCCAAAAUCAAAAUUGAGAAAAAAAACCAUUGCUAUUGCCAAUUCAGCACUUGAGAUAACACGUGUAUCAAAUAUAAGCAAUGCAUAUUGUCAUACAUGUUGCUACCAUAGUCUAUGCUUAUAAAGACUGCAAUAAGAGGAAAAAGAGGUUGAUUAGGAUAUUAAAUAUAAUUAGAGUACCUUUUUGAUCUACGUGGUCAUGAUUCAACUAAAGUAAGAGACUUGUGGUUUCUCUUUAGAGAGGCUCUCUCGAAUUUCUUUAUACAAGUGUUGUUACCAUCGAUUUCAGGGCGGGUGGUGGUGGAGAGAAACCUAAAUAGCAAGACGAUUUUGACUUUUGAAUUUGAUUUUAUGGUGCAUAUGGAUCAUUGGUUGAUCAAUUUAACUUUCCAAAGAAAAAAAGGGAAUUGAACCGAUAUAUGGGGAAGAGAUGCAGCCGGAAUCUCAGGAUUCAACAUAGACACCAGUGUGUGCUCUCUCCACCCCUGUCUCUCCCGAUCGGAAAUCAAACAAAAAAAAAUCAACAAAAAAAUGCAAGUUUUCUUCUUACAGAAACAAUACCUGUCAAUUUUUUCUCUUUGGAGUUCAACCUAUGAUAUAGAUUUGAUCGAUAUGGAGAAAGUAUGAAGGAGAAGAAACGAAAGGAUGAUGUUUUCUAGAGAUAAAAGCAGAAAGUAACCUGGAAUAUGACCUUUUGGGCAAUAAAUUAGCAUUUCUUUGCACAGGAAGUCUAGAGCUAAACAAAACCCGAAUCUUUACCGGUAAGAAUCCGACUAUGCGCGAGUAUGGAUGAGGGCGG
This 1344-nucleotide long non-coding RNA is filed under the name Lactuca sativa (garden lettuce). RNAcentral describes it as "long non-coding RNA (LSAT_LNC000503)". Lineage: Eukaryota; Viridiplantae; Streptophyta; Magnoliopsida; Asterales; Asteraceae. The record is from RNAcentral.